RNAcentral lists this unclassified non-coding RNA (190 nucleotides) under uncultured Russulaceae. RNAcentral describes it as "sequence contains ITS1". The record is from RNAcentral. Lineage: Eukaryota; Fungi; Basidiomycota; Agaricomycetes; Russulales; Russulaceae.
UCGUACAAUGGAGAUGCCCAGGGCUGUCGCUGACUUUCACAGGUCGUGCACGCCCAAAGGUGCUCUCUUAUGUCCAUCUCACCCCUUUGUGCAUCACCGCGUGUGCCCCCCUUUGCGGGGAGGGCUUGCGUUUUCACAUAAAACUCGAUACGGUGUAGAAUGUUUCUUUUGCGGUCACACGCAAUCAAUA